GGAGAGGUGGCCGAGUGGUUGAAGGCGCUCGCCUCGAAAGCGAGUGUGCGGUGACCCCGUACCGUGGGUUCGAAUCCCACCCUCUCCG
This 88-nucleotide transfer RNA is filed under the name bacterium. RNAcentral's name for it is "tRNA-Ser". It matches the Rfam family "tRNA". Rfam says of the family: Transfer RNA (tRNA) molecules are approximately 80 nucleotides in length. Their secondary structure includes four short double-helical elements and three loops (D, anti-codon, and T loops). The record is from RNAcentral.